RNAcentral lists this ribosomal RNA (497 nucleotides) under uncultured bacterium. Its description in RNAcentral is "partial 16S ribosomal RNA". It matches the Rfam family "Bacterial small subunit ribosomal RNA", at positions 28 to 507 of the family's 1533-position model. The record is from RNAcentral.
GAUGAACGCUGGCGGCGUGCCUAAUACAUGCAAGUCGAGCGAACAGACGAGGAGCUUGCUCCUCUGACGUUAGCGGCGGACGGGUGAGUAACACGUGGAUAACCUACCUAUAAGACUGGGAUAACUUCGGGAAACCGGAGCUAAUACCGGAUAAUAUAUUGAACCGCAUGGUUCAAUAGUGAAAGACGGCUUUGGUGUCACUUAUAGAUGGAUCCGCGCCGCAUUAGCUAGUUGGUAAGGUAACGGCUUACCAAGGCAACGAUGCGUAGCCGACCUGAGAGGGUGGUCGCCCACCCUGGAGCUGAGACACGGUCCAUGCUCCUACGGGAGGCAGCAGUAGGGAAUCUUCCGCAAUGGGCGAAAGCCUGACGGAGCGGCGCCACGUGAGUGAUGAAGGUCUUCGGAUCGUAAAACUCUGUCAUUAGUGAAGAACAAAUGUGUAAGUAACUGUGCACGUCUUGACGGUACCUAAUCAGAAAGCCACGGCUAACUACGUG